UACAUAUAUAUGUGUUUAUAUUUGUCCCUGUUUCCUCUUGGUUCCUCAGUUCCUUGUUGUCUCGCCCCAGCGACCGCAGGACGUCAGUUCUGUCGCGCUCUGAGGACGACAACAGGAUUGGCCGAAAAAACAGGAAGGAGUGGAGUGUGAGCAAAUCCCAGGUGUUGCUGGAGCGGCAGUCGGACACUGACGAGGUUCCUCCAGAGAAGCAGCCCAGACCCAAGAGCCUGCAGCUGGGCGACCGUCGCCUCACCCUCUCCCUCUUUCAGGGGGUUACUGCCCAGCUCAGCCCGCUGCCCGCUUCUCCUCACACCCCCCGCAGCUCCAGCUUCUCGUCGCUGCUUAGCGACAACAACAACGACGCCGUCGCCGCCGCCGGUUCCCUCGACACGCCGGGCACGCCGCCGCCUCCGAUGCCUCCGAAGAGACACCCGCAAGAAUCGGAGGUACCGUACGGUUCUCGGC
Molecule: long non-coding RNA, 465 nt
Organism: Cynoglossus semilaevis (tongue sole)
Lineage: Eukaryota; Metazoa; Chordata; Actinopteri; Pleuronectiformes; Cynoglossidae
Exons: 3
Source: RefSeq, a predicted model, not a curated record